This is a long non-coding RNA of Rhineura floridana, 448 nucleotides long. RefSeq lists it as uncharacterized. The record is from RefSeq and is a predicted model, not a curated record. The transcript has 3 exons. NCBI's taxonomy places the organism in Eukaryota, Metazoa, Chordata, Lepidosauria, Squamata, Rhineuridae.
UGUCUUCAGAAGCAUGUAUAAUGCAUCACAGUAGUCUAGUCUGGAGAACAGAGCAAGGAUAACUGAGGCCAGGCUAUCUCUGUCCAGGUUGUUGCUGUGUAAAUAUGUAUUAUGUUUUACAGUUAUAGCUGAGGUAACGGCGCAGGAAACCUAUGUACUGAGGGAACCUGGUAGGUAGUCCAUGGAUUGGUUGGUCCUGGUGAGUCAUGCUGACUGGAUGGAGAGGCCUGUGAAGGGGUGAGAAGCUGGAGGCGAUUUGCUGGUGCCAAGCCUUGCUUUCCAUGAAGGGAACAUUUCCACCAACCCUCGCUCCCAAGGAGAUUCUGCUCAAGAACCGUCAGGAUGUCUCCUCGGCGAAAGGCAAGUUCAUCUGGACACUCAGCUUUGUUGUCAUACAGUGCUUUUGCCAAGGUGUUCUGGAAUGGAAGAGACUCAAUGUGAGGUCAUA